AAUGAAGGCGGCCAAUGGACGCGAGGGGGAGUGUCAGGCUGUCGGGGCGUGGCUUCUACUCCGGAGGCGUGGCUUCGGCUCCAGACGUUCAGCAGACCGGGAGAGCGGUGGGGGCGAGACUCAAGGAAGGAGCGCUUCUGGCCAUAGAUGUCCACGUUCCGGAUCCCGGCGUGGGAGCGUGUAGCCUGGAGAGGCGCAGGAGUCCCUCCUGGUGACUCCAACCGAGCCUGAGGCCUGGCUGUCUCUGCUAGGUCAUGUCACCACUGUUGCUAACUCGACUCUACCGAACUGGACUGCUGGUGUGUCCACGAGGUGUUUGCCAGUGGAUAGAGCUUACUGCCCACCUGCAAACUGAAUCGCUGAUUUCCAGGCAAGACAGACAGGAGUUGCUCCAAAGAACCUUUCUAAACAGGUCCACUUCCCCUAUAUCCUUUCUUUUCCACUACCUCUGGUGGGUGGUGGGCUACAAGGGAAGUUAAAGCAUUUAAGAAUCAUCAUUAAAGGGCUGGAGAGAUGGCUCAGCAGUUAAGAGCACUGACUGCUCUUCCAGAGGUCCUGAGUUCAAAUCCCAGCAACCACAUGGAGGCUCACAACUAUCUGUAAUGGGAUCUGAUGCCCUCUUUUGGUGUGUCUGAAGAUGGCUACACUGUACUCAUAUCCACUAAAUAAAUAAAUCUUUAAAAAAAAAAUAAAUAAAUAAAAAUAAAAAUAGACACUGAAAAACAUUAAA
This is a non-coding RNA of Rattus norvegicus (Norway rat), 730 nucleotides long. Lineage: Eukaryota; Metazoa; Chordata; Mammalia; Rodentia; Muridae. The record is from RefSeq and is a predicted model, not a curated record.